AGGCGCGUAGCUCAGUUGGUUAGAGCGCUACCUUGACACGGUAGAGGUCUGGGGUUCGAGUCCCCACGUGCCUA
Molecule: non-coding RNA, 74 nt
Organism: Acidobacteriales bacterium 13_2_20CM_2_55_5
Lineage: Bacteria; Pseudomonadati; Acidobacteriota; Terriglobia; Terriglobales
Source: Rfam